RNAcentral lists this ribosomal RNA (506 nucleotides) under uncultured bacterium. RNAcentral describes it as "partial 16S ribosomal RNA". It matches the Rfam family "Bacterial small subunit ribosomal RNA", at positions 29 to 523 of the family's 1533-position model. The record is from RNAcentral.
AGUGAACGCUGGCGGUAGGCCUAACACAUGCAAGUCGAACGGCAGCACAGGAGAGCUUGCUCUCUGGGUGGCAAGUGGCGGACGGGUGAGGAAUACAUCGGAAUCUACUCUGUCGUGGGGGAUAACGUAGGGAAACUUACGCUAAUACCGCAUACGACCUACGGGUGAAAGCAGGGGACCUUCGGGCCUUGCGCGAUUGAAUGAGCCGAUGUCGGAUUAGCUAGUUGGCGGGGUAAAGGCCCACCAAGGCGACGAUCCGUAGCUGGUCUGAGAGGAUGAUCAGCCACACUGGAACUGAGACACGGUCCAGACUCCUACGGGAGGCAUCAGUGGGGAAUAUUGGACAAUGGGCGCAAGCCUGAUCCAGCCAUACCGCGUGGGUGAAGAAGGCCUUCGGGUUGUAAAGCCCUUUUGUUGGGAAAGAAAUCCAGCUGGCUAAUACCCGGUUGGGAUGACGGUACCCAAAGAAUAAGCACCGGCUAACUUCGUGCCAGCCGCCGCAGUAA